Molecule: long non-coding RNA, 1038 nt
Organism: Camelina sativa (false flax)
Lineage: Eukaryota; Viridiplantae; Streptophyta; Magnoliopsida; Brassicales; Brassicaceae
Source: RefSeq, a predicted model, not a curated record
AGGCACUAUAGGUACUGAAGUUCAGAUUUAGGAACUCCUCACACGUUAAAAGACAUUUCUGUCCUUUAGUUAAUGACGUCAUGCCUGUUAAUUUAGUGCGGCUAAUUCCAUUGUGGAUCGACAUUGUGAAGGGUUUACUGUUUACGAAGAUAAAUUCCAGAGAACAUAAUCCUCUGUCACCCUUUGAAAUCUGAGUGAAUCUCUCGAAGCCUUUCUGUCUCGAUCAUCGGACGGAAAUUUACGAUGGUUCUCCGGUGGUGAAGAAGCGGAGGAUCUGAUAUCUAAGCUCUAGAGGAUUUCCGGAGAUGUCGCAAGAGAUCUCGUCUUAGAGACUUGCAUGUUUUGAUUUUUCCUACAUUGGUUCUGGAUCAGAUGUUUCAGAUCCUUUCAACUUCCCCACUAUUAUCAAGAUUGAGGUUGUAGAAGAUGAGGAUGAUGAGUCUGAUACAUAGCCCACGAAAGUUUUGGUACAUAUCAAAAUUCGGAGAGAUAAUGUUUGUUCUUUCGGACUCUAUGCUCUAGCUACUAAUUAAGCUAGUGUGCCAAGCUCGAUCCAUAACCAUUUGAGGAAUUGCACUCUUUAUCUAAAGGUGAAACAAAUGUUGAACUCUCUUUGAACUCUCUUCAUCAUCCUCUAAAGAUACGACAAUUAGGGGGAGGUGUUUACUUCUUUCCUCUGUUUUGUUCUCUUAUCCUUUGUUUCAGCUAAUUUCUAAAGAUACAUUCGAAAAACAUACAUGAGAAGAUGUACGUGGACAGAUCAAGAAGAAUGGAGAGCUUCUACGUUAACUAUGACCAAUCAUUUGGAUCUGGACUCUAAUUCAAAUAUGAGUAGUUGUUCUGAUAAAAUCGACAUCUUGAAAGUUUCAUAAAAUUAGUAUAUAUAUUGAGUUAUUGAUUUAUAAUUGACUUAUAGUGGAUCAAAAAAUAUUCAUGAUUACAAGAAGAAAAUACACUUUAAACUUGUAAUUGAUCUCUUUAUUACAUGGAACUUUAUGGUUGAUUAUAUGGUCGCUUUUAUCGGCACAACCAACCAAA